Mizuhopecten yessoensis (Yesso scallop) is the source of this 296-nucleotide long non-coding RNA. RefSeq lists it as uncharacterized. NCBI's taxonomy places the organism in Eukaryota, Metazoa, Mollusca, Bivalvia, Pectinida, Pectinidae. The record is from RefSeq and is a predicted model, not a curated record. The transcript is spliced from 5 exons.
GUGAUAUCAGUAAAGGCACUAUACUUUUUGUCGACUCAAAGCGGUGGAUCAAACUUAGUAGGGACGACUGAUCCAGCGGUUAUUCUACGGAUAUACUUUUACUUGGUUGGUGCUUGUAUUGUGAUGAGUGUAAAGUUACUUUCAAAGAAGAAGAAAAGAGACGCUCUAUAUGAAGAUGUUCCUCCAUUGAAGAAGAAGUUAAGUAAGAAGAAAAAAGGCGCUAUGUAUGAAGAUGUUCCUCCAUUGAAGAAGAAGUUAAGUAAGAAGAAAAAAGGCGCUAUGUAUGAAGGUAAUGU